GCACGGAAGUUAGCCGGGGCUCUUCUUCUGUGGGUACAGUCAUUAUCUUCCCCACUGAAAAGAGACUUUACAACCCUAAGGCCUUCAUCGCUCACGCGGCAUGGCUAGAUCAGGCUUGCGCCCAUUGUCUAAGAUUCCCCA
This 141-nucleotide ribosomal RNA is filed under the name uncultured bacterium. RNAcentral's name for it is "partial 16S ribosomal RNA". The record is from RNAcentral.